CUCAAAGGGGUCUCCUUCACUGAAGUCCAAGGAGAUGAUGAGGUCGACCUUCCUCGAUGUGCGCAGGACGGGGGGGUAGGGAGAGUUCAACUUUAACCCAGCGUCUACCAGAGCUCCACCUUCAAACUUGCUCCCAAGACAGGAAGUGGGGAUGAAAGCGCCCAAUCCGGAGAAGCCACUCUCGUAGGGGGUCAUCUCAAACCACACCCCUACAGAAAAUUGAUUUCAAUGGUAUUCACAAAUGACGUGGAUUUAAGCCUCCUCAUCAUAAACUCCACAAACAGCUGAUUUGCCUGCUUCAACAUGGCAUCACACUGCUUCCUCCAUUCCUGAAGAGGGUGGCUUGAAGCAUCAUCGUCAAAAGCCCCACAAACCCCGUUGCCUGCUUCAACAUGCCAUCACACUGCUUCCUCCAUUCCUGAAGAGGGUGGCUUGAAGCAUUAUCACAACCUCCACAAGCCCUGCUGAUUCAACUCUGGUUUACAUCACAUGAAGUGCAGCCUAGCAGUGACCUGCUCAAAGCGUUCCAGGACUCUGCACUCCUCCUCCACCACCUCCAAUUCCUCUUGGGUCAGAGCAUCAACAGGUGCAUUGACAAUGGCCAGGGUAGAGAUGAUGGCAUCCUUUGACUCAAGAAACCGCUUCAACAUAUAAAAUGCUGAAUUCCACCUUGUAGUGCAGUCUUGUUUAGGCCUUUGCUCAGGCAUCCCCAUUUGGCAUUGUGUAGACUUCAGUUUUUCAGCACCUACUGUGCUCCUGUGGAUGUAUUCCACAGCUGCUUUCACUUAGUCCAUAGUGGGCCUCAUACAGUUGUGGAAUAAGUGAUUUUGAAAGGAUUUUCCUGCUUGGAAUUGUGUACAUUGGAUUUAGACUAUUGCUAUCAUUUCUAAAACCUCUGUCCUCCACGAUCGAAAAUGGCUGGAAAUCUGUGGCAAUUAUUUUAGCCAAUGCAAUAUCAAUGUGGCAUUGUUUUGCUACAGACAUAGACUUUGGCAUAAAUUGGUCCAUAGAAGACUGCGUUGCUGUGGGUUGCGGAUUAGGCCUACUUGACUGAGUGGAUACAUCUCCACGUGUGGAGGUGCUGACUCCACCACUAUCACUAGCAGGCCGCUAGUUUCUGGAAGCUCUGCUACAGCUAGCUUCACAGUUGGGUGCACAGUUCCCAUAUGCCGGUGUAGGUUGUGCGUAGAACCAGCUUUAUAUCAGAUUUUGUUUUG
Molecule: long non-coding RNA, 1217 nt
Organism: Oncorhynchus keta (chum salmon)
Lineage: Eukaryota; Metazoa; Chordata; Actinopteri; Salmoniformes; Salmonidae
Exons: 4
Source: RefSeq, a predicted model, not a curated record